This 1142-nucleotide long non-coding RNA is filed under the name Homo sapiens (human). RNAcentral's name for it is "HSALNT0396148". The record is from RNAcentral. Lineage: Eukaryota; Metazoa; Chordata; Mammalia; Primates; Hominidae.
CUACCUUGGCCUCCCAAAGUGCUGGGAUUAUAGGGUGAGCCAUCGCGCCCGGCCCCUUUUGAUUUCUUUACAGAAUAUUGCUGUAGUAUAACUUUUUUCCAUGCACUUAAUUUUUGUUCCCUUGUUGGCAUAUUUCAUUUUCUUCCCUGAAAAUGGGUAGACUGAGAUAAGGUAUGAGGAAGCCUUGGCCAUGCCACCAGCCGCUUAUCCCAAAUUCCUGAUCCCUGGAAGACAUCUGGGCUCUCCCUCCUGUUCCAGCCCAGUAGCUUCCAGCAAAGGUACUGGCUCAAUUGGACACGGAGUGUGGAACUGCCUGCUCACACUUGUGAACCCCCGUCCAGAAGGAAGAAACAGAAAGGGCCCAGUGAGUAUAGGAAGAUGCCAGGGCCCACUGUGGAAAGCCUGGAGCCAAGUUUUUCUUAAAUGCAAAUGUCCCCAGUGUGGGGUCACGUCCAAGCUCCAGAAGGAAGCCUGGCCUGGGCGGGGGGGUGGGAGGGCUGUUGCUAGAACCUGUCAAUCCUGCUCCACACUUCCGAGUUUUCCGUGGCUUCUCCUGAAACCCGGGCCUAGGGGGUGGGGCUUGAUUCCUAUCCUAGGGGUACUGGGCGGGGUCGUGUAAAUUAUCCAAUCAGGCGCUCCGCCAGGAGGGUGGGGCCAAGCUCCGCAAGUCUAAGGGGCUCCUGUUCCCCUAACCCACUGAAUUCAGCCUUCCAGAGGCCGAGGUGGCUCCACCACAGCUUCUGUCCGGUGGUGACCAGCACUGAUCUCCGGAGCCAAGGGAGGACCCGGGACACCUGGGAGCCGGGAAAUGCUGCAGCCCAAGAGGCCAACUGGAACGUUAACAUCAGACACUAAUCCAGCUGACUGAAAGGGACAGAGCAAGAUGGCGGAAUAGAAAGCUCCCCUGAUCAUCCUCCUGCAAGGACACCAAAUUAACAACUAUCACACAGAAAAAACACCUUCAUGAGAACCAAAAAUCAGAAAUUAAAACUUCAGUCCUGCCUGAAUUGUUUGAAGAUGAAUAGACUGAAUGUUCUGGAAGAGGGCUCAACCACAGGUCUUGAAAUAUCGUUGAUGGGCAACUUGUUCUCUAAGUGAAGGAAUGUUGUCGUCAUCACCUACUGAAGCCAGGUUCCUAUAGG